GACGAACGCUGGCGGCGUGCUUAACACAUGCAAGUCGAACGGAAAGGCACUGCUUGUGUGGGGUGCUCGAGGGGCGAACGGGUGAGUAACACGUGAGUAGCCUGCCCUUGACUGUGGGAUAACUUGAGGAAACUGGGGCUAAUACGGGAUAGGAGCUCCUGCUGCAUGGGGGGGGUUGGAAAGGUUCGGCGGUUGGGGAUGGACGCGCGGCUUAUCAGCUUGUUGGUGGGGUAGUGGUUUACCAAGGCUGUGACGGGUAGCCGGCAUGAGAGGGGGACCGGCGACAUUGGGACUGCGAGACGGCGCAGAGUCGUACGGGAGGCAGUAGUGGGGAAUAUUGCACAACGGGAGGAAGCCUGAUGCAGCAACGCCGCGUGUGGGAUGACGGCCUUCGGGUUGUAAACCGCUUUCGCCUGUGAGGAAGGGUGAGUGACGGUAAUGGGUAAAGAAGCCCCGGCUAACUACGUG
This 468-nucleotide ribosomal RNA is filed under the name uncultured bacterium. RNAcentral describes it as "partial 16S ribosomal RNA". It matches the Rfam family "Bacterial small subunit ribosomal RNA", at positions 28 to 507 of the family's 1533-position model. The record is from RNAcentral.